GAUAGCAACAAAGUCUGGGCCGAGUCUGGCUUAUAUUCGGCACUUCUGGCUUAAUUCUGGCACUGUUUUUUUCACACUCUUGUGUCAAACAGUACUAGGCUAAGCUCUGGCUGGAGUCUGGCUAACCAAAAGAAACAAAUCAAAUUGUAUCUGUUUGGCUAAGCUUUGGCUUGAGUUCGGUCUGCCAGAAUAAGGAAAUUUUUGGCUGAGAUCUGGUUGGGUUUUGGUUGGCUGAGCAAAUAACAGACCUCAUGAAAGUGCUGUACUGUAAAAUAGCCGUGUAAGAUGUGGUGUUAAAUUGGUUCAUAUUUUAGACAUAAUUAUAAUGCAACCUCAUAAAUAGGGUUAAUUUUGUUAAAAAUAAUAAAAUGAAAUAAGUUUGUUAUAGACCUAGUUAAAAAUACAUAUAGAUAUGUAUGCAAAUAGUUCUCUUUUACACAUAAGUAGGCAGGUUUUAAGGAAAGAAGCCUUGAUUAUUCUAUUGGCAAGAUUAUUUUAAUGGGGGGGUUAAGGAGGUGAUAAUGUGCAGAUUGCAGAAUGGAAAAAAAAGAUGUUUGCAAAAUGACUGAAGACAAAUGGUUCAGUCUGCAGCAUAGACAAAAGAUUGAAUGGAACUGAAAGAGUACUUUGUGGUUAUCCAAAUGGUAAUCAAUAUGCCACACACACACACACACACACACAAAAAUUCACUUUUUGGGGAAUUUAUUAGGUAGCCUACAGAUGUACUACAAAAACCCAUGGUUAAACUAUGAUUUUUUGAAGCAAAAACCACCCAUGCUUUGAGUUUUCACAAUUCCUCAAUAAAAAAAUUAUAUAAUCUCCAUAAAAUAGCCUAUACAUAGCCUAUUGUAAGUAUUUGGAGAAGAAACAUUUAUGUUCUCCACGUAAACCAUUGAAAUCGGUUAAAUAAAACGUGGUUCUGUUUUUAAAAAUCUCCGGGAAACUUGCGUGUUUUUAGAGCAAUGUGAGCAAACCACGCGGCAGUCGAUGCGACGUCUGUGGCUGCUGAUACAAUCUGGUUUGCAAUGCAUCAUGGAAAUUGUAGUUGAUUUACAUGUACAGUGUUAAAUCCGCUUUGCAAAAAGACUACUUUUCCCAGAAUGCACCCAGUGACACCAUCCCGCCUACCAGAGGAUCCGGAAGUUGCGUAGCAGCUAUUCAGCAACUCAACGCAGUCGCGGUGAAAUUCAAAUAACUAAGUUAGUUGUUCUAACUUCGACAAUCACGCUGUGUUGGUUUUAUCUUUUGAUGUUUUAAUACAUGAUCAAGUGAAGAACAUCGGAAGCUGCUUCUUGCUGAACAACAGCUGAUCUUUCUGAGGCCACCAAAACGGAAAAUAAAAUGAAACAGGCGACUAAUGGAUGAAAAUGACCCCGAUGAGGAGGCUACUGCAGCCAUGGCAAGUAGAGAAGUUCACAAGACCUCACAGAACAUCGCAGGCAACGGGAUUUAACUUUACAGUCUCACGGACAGGCAAUACAGUCACCAUGGCAUCACGAAACACCCAGACCACAGAGAAAAAGCCUCUCAAGUGAUGACCGAUUAAUAAGAUUACGGUGGCUGAGAGGUCUCAACAUUCUGCAACAGAAGAAAAUGGAUGCAAACAGAAAAAAACCCCUGUAAAAUAAGAACAUCUUUAUCACAUGUGCUAAAACACAACCAAAUACAUAAAUGCUCUCCAAAUGUCCGACCAACAAAUAUCUACUCGACAAUGGUGUUCAUUGUUUUAUUUUUAUUAUUAUUUAUUGUUUGCAUUGUAUUUGCAGCAAGUGUGUUGUGAAACUGAUGUCUUGACUUGCUGGUGUUUUUCUUGUUUGCAUGUUUUCUUCUGUUGCAGGACUUUGAGAUCUCUCGGCCAACAUAUUUUUGUUAAUUUUUGUAUCUCAUUAUUUAAGAAUGCCACA
Molecule: non-coding RNA, 1904 nt
Organism: Pimephales promelas (fathead minnow)
Lineage: Eukaryota; Metazoa; Chordata; Actinopteri; Cypriniformes; Leuciscidae
Source: RefSeq, a predicted model, not a curated record